GGUCAAGAGGACUGCGUCAAGGCCUGGCUCGCCGUCCGGCAACCUUCGCGCAAGGUGCCCCAGGAACGACCUGAUCGCCGCCGGUGACAACUGGUAGCGGUAACGCGGAUC
Molecule: non-coding RNA, 111 nt
Filed under: Pseudofrankia inefficax
Lineage: Bacteria; Bacillati; Actinomycetota; Actinomycetes; Frankiales; Frankiaceae
Description: Frankia inefficax SAM-IV sequence
Rfam family: SAM (S-adenosyl methionine) riboswitch aptamer
About the family: SAM-IV is a mRNA element that regulates gene expression via direct sensing of S-adenosylmethionine (SAM or AdoMet). SAM-IV riboswitches share conserved nucleotide positions with the previously described SAM-I riboswitches sequence analysis and molecular recognition experiments suggest that SAM-I and SAM-IV riboswitches share similar ligand binding sites, but have different scaffolds.
Source: Rfam by way of RNAcentral